UACGUAGGGUGCAAGCGUUGUCCGGAAUUAUUGGGCGUAAAGAGCUCGUAGGCGGUCUGUCACGUCGGCUGUGAAAACCCGAGGCUCAACCUCGGGCCUGCAGUCGAUACGGGCAAACUAGAGUACUGCAGGGGAGACUGGAAUUCCUGGUGUAGCGGUGAAAUGCGCAGAUAUCAGGAGGAACACCGGUGGCGAAGGCGGGUCUCUGGGCAGUAACUGACGCUGAGGAGCGAAAGCGUGGGGAGCGAACCGG
Molecule: ribosomal RNA, 253 nt
Filed under: uncultured bacterium
Lineage: Bacteria
Description: partial 16S ribosomal RNA
Rfam family: Bacterial small subunit ribosomal RNA
Source: RNAcentral